RNAcentral lists this long non-coding RNA (223 nucleotides) under Gallus gallus (chicken). Lineage: Eukaryota; Metazoa; Chordata; Aves; Galliformes; Phasianidae. The record is from RNAcentral.
CCAGGCAUAAGGAUAUUUCAGUCUGAGAAAGUUACUGCUUUUGUUGACUUCUGCUGUCCCUGAGGGCUUUGCAACCCUGGAUCCUUGCCUGAGAGGUUUAUCAGGAAGCGCAAAGGCUGAAGCCUAUGCGUUGGCAAAGGGGCUCCUGCUUGGCCAUUCUUGCACUGGAACAUGUGUAUUCUCCCCAGAAACUUUGAGGCGUCUUUGAUUUGUACUGGUGCAG